UACGAAGGGGGCUAGCGUUGCUCGGAAUCACUGGGCGUAAAGCGCACGUAGGCGGAUUGUUAAGUCAGGGGUGAAAUCCUGGAGCUCAACUCCAGAACUGCCUUUGAUACUGGCGAUCUUGAGUCCGGGAGAGGUGAGUGGAACUGCGAGUGUAGAGGUGAAAUUCGUAGAUAUUCGCAAGAACACCAGUGGCGAAGGCGGCUCACUGGCCCGGUACUGACGCUGAGGUGCGAAAGCGUGGGGAGCAAACAGGAUUAGAACGACCU
RNAcentral lists this ribosomal RNA (266 nucleotides) under uncultured bacterium. Its description in RNAcentral is "partial 16S ribosomal RNA". It matches the Rfam family "Bacterial small subunit ribosomal RNA", at positions 524 to 788 of the family's 1533-position model. The record is from RNAcentral.